CCUCACUUGUGGGGGGAUUAGUGGCGAACGGGUGAGUAACACGUGAGUAACCUGCCCUUGACUCUGGGAUAAGCCUGGGAAACCGGGUCUAAUACUGGAUACGACCUUCUGGCGCAUGCCAUGUUGGUGGAAAGCUUUUGUGGUUUUGGAUGGACUCGCGGCCUAUCAGCUUGUUGGUGGGGUAAUGGCCUACCAAGGCGACGACGGGUAGCCGGCCUGAGAGGGUGACCGGCCACACUGGGACUGAGACACGGCCCAGACUCCUACGGGAGGCAGCAGUGGGGAAUAUUGCACAAUGGGCGCAAGCCUGAUGCAGCGACGCCGCGUGAGGGAUGAAGGCCUUCGGGUUGUAAACCUCUUUCAGUAGGGAAGAAGCCGGCCUUCGGGUUGGUGACGGUACCUGCAGAAGAAGCGCCGG
RNAcentral lists this ribosomal RNA (418 nucleotides) under unidentified bacterium TMB803. Its description in RNAcentral is "bacterial SSU rRNA". It matches the Rfam family "Bacterial small subunit ribosomal RNA", at positions 74 to 496 of the family's 1533-position model. The record is from RNAcentral.